RNAcentral lists this ribosomal RNA (460 nucleotides) under uncultured bacterium. RNAcentral's name for it is "partial 16S ribosomal RNA". It matches the Rfam family "Bacterial small subunit ribosomal RNA", at positions 338 to 795 of the family's 1533-position model. The record is from RNAcentral.
CCUACGGGAGGCAGCAGUGAGGAAUAUUGGUCAAUGGGCGCGAGCCUGAACCAGCAAAGUAGCGUGAAGGAUGAAUGCCCUACGGGUUGUAAACUUCUUUUAUAGAGGAAUAAAGUGGGGCACGUGUGCCUUUUUGUAUGUACUUUAUGAAUAAGGAUCAGCUAACUCCGUGCCAGCGGCCGAGGUAAUACGGAGUAUCCGAGCGUUGUCCGGAUUUAUUGGGUUUAAAGGGAGCGCAGAUGGGUUUUUAAGUCAGUUGUGAACGUUUGCGGCUCAACCGUAAAAUUGCAAUUGAUACUGGCAGCCUUGAGUACAGGUGAGGUAGGCGGAAUUCGUGGUGUAGCGGUGAAAUGCUUAGAUAUCACGAAGAACUCCGAUUGCGAAGGCAGCCUACUAAACUGCCACUGACAUUGAUGCUCGAAAGUGUGGGUAUCAAACAGGAUUAGAUACCCUGGUAGUC